Harpia harpyja (harpy eagle) is the source of this 962-nucleotide long non-coding RNA. RefSeq lists it as uncharacterized. The record is from RefSeq and is a predicted model, not a curated record. The transcript is spliced from 2 exons. NCBI's taxonomy places the organism in Eukaryota, Metazoa, Chordata, Aves, Accipitriformes, Accipitridae.
GCUUUUGCUGCUUGCUGUACUGCUGUAGUGUUUAUCGUCUGACUCCGCUGCGCCUGGGAACAUUUUGAUAACAGCAAUGGCGAUGUGCCUGGGCUGGCAGAUGGCCAGGGCAUGGCUGCUGUUUCUGUGCUGCUGUACUGGAUGGGCUGGAACUCCAUUGUGAACUGGAGUUGAAGGGACCGUGAUCUGCGGAGGAGUCCACGCGGGAGCAGGACACCCCAAAGUGUCUGUGGCCAUUGAUAGGCCCACACCAGAGCAGGUACAUCUCGAAGUGUCUUUGGCCAUGGUUAUGUCUGUGCAGCAGGAAGUAUACCUCUGAAGGGACUGUGGCCCAAGGAUAAGUAUACCUUGAAGCAGCUGUGGCUGUGGAUAAGUCUAUGCACAGCAGCCUCUGUCCAUCUGCUCUUAGUUCACAUCAGGCCUGGCUGAAAUUUGUCACCGUGGGAUGGUUCUUCGGAGGUGCAGUGCAAGGAUCCGGCUGGGAUGCCCUGAUAAGCGCUCGCCUGCCUAUCCCUGAUGCUGCUGGUGCCACCUGCCAGAUCUGUGACCAGGAUGACUAUUGCUGCCUGGCCACUGCUACGCAGGCAGGGUCUGCCCACACCCAGCCCUGCCUGUCCCUGCAGGCAGUCACUGUGUCCCCAUCCUUGAGAUGUGGGCAGCACUGCAGCCCCAUGGAAGGGCUCGUGCCCUGCUCUUCCAUUCACCCUCGUAUGUGGCAGAGAUAAGGAUGCCAGCCACCGGCGUGGAGGGAUCUCAGCAUAGGGGCUGGAAAGAGCCUGGUGCAGGCAUAGAUUUGCAGGUGGGUGGGGGUGGGGCUCCAAAACCUCAAGUCUGGUGUGAGAACGGUGAUUUGCUGAGUCCCUCUGCAUGCCAUCCUGGGGGGCUUUUAUCCCCUUCUCCAGCUGUUCUCCUUCCUCCUGGGGUUCAGCACUUUUUAUUCUGAAUAAAAAGCAGAAAUCCUC